This 231-nucleotide ribosomal RNA is filed under the name uncultured bacterium. RNAcentral's name for it is "partial 16S ribosomal RNA". It matches the Rfam family "Bacterial small subunit ribosomal RNA", at positions 118 to 350 of the family's 1533-position model. The record is from RNAcentral.
UGAGUAACCUGCCCUGGACUUUGGGAUAACCCUCGGAAACGGGGGCUAAUACCGGAUAUGACGGCUCACCGCAUGGUGUGGUUGUGGAAAGUUUUUCGGUCUGGGAUGGGCCCGCGGCCUAUCAGCUUGUUGGCGAGGUAACGGCCCACCAAGGCGACGACGGGUAGCCGGCCUGAGAGGGUGACCGGCCACACUGGGACUGAGACACGGCCCAGACUCCUACGGGAGGCA